RNAcentral lists this long non-coding RNA (1336 nucleotides) under Oryctolagus cuniculus (rabbit). RNAcentral's name for it is "lncRNA (ENSOCUG00000036516.1)". Lineage: Eukaryota; Metazoa; Chordata; Mammalia; Lagomorpha; Leporidae. The record is from RNAcentral.
CCUCAUCUCAGGAUUUUAUUAUUACAACAGAGGACGUGUGAACAAGGGCCCAAGGCAAAGCUGUCCUCGAGUGCUGUCCUGGCCAUGUGAGUGACAUCUGCUUCUCAUGGCUUCUCUAAUCAGGGUGGAAAUGCACGUUGGCCGCAAGGCCUUGCUCUGAGUGAGCCAGGAGCCCAUGUCUAGACAGCAGCCACAGCAAAGCAGGGCACCCCUGGGGCCAGCCCGAGGUGGGCUUCGCUCUCGCCAGAGUUUGAUGGGGAAGGGAUGGGGCCCCUCCCACCUAAUCCCACACCCCCGUCCUCCUCCAGGUUGUUAGUGGCGGCCCCUGCCUCCAUGCCAGCCCCGCGAGCAGGAGACGCGGCGUGGAUCCGGGUGCAAUCCGUUCGAAGUGACCAUGGAAUGACCUGGGUGACUGUGACCGUCCCUGCUACAGACCACACUUUGAAUUCUGAUGAAUUCCCAGACACUACACGGAGCAGUCCUCGCCGGGCAGCAGUGGCAAGGGCAGUGUCCAGGCAACCCUGCAGUCACAAGAGGAACAACUCCCACCCCCAGCACUGGUGCCCACGUCACCAUUUUUUUUUUUUUUGAUAGGCAGAGUUAGUGAGAGAGAGACAGAGAGAAAUGUCUUCAUUUUCCAUUGGCUCACCCCCCAAAUGGCUGCUACGGUCAGCGCGCUGCGCCGAUCCAAAGCCAGGAGCCAGGUGCCUCCUCCUGGUCUCCCAUGCGGGCGCAGGGCCCAAGCACUUGGGUCACCCUCCACUGCCUUCCCGGGCCACAGCAGAGAGCUGGACUGGAAGAGGAGCAUGCGGGACAGAACCGGCACCCCAACCAGGACUAGAACCCGGGAUGCCGGCACCACAGGAGGAGGAUUAGCUUAGUGAGCUGCAGCGCCAGCCCAACAUCACCAUAUUUUCAAGUCCCAGGGUUUCCUGGGAUGCAUAGCAUGAGGGCAGGCACAUCCAGACAGGGAAGGGUGCAGGCAGGCACAGGGGGUGCACCCAGUACUCUCUGGAGAAGUGAAACACCAGCUCAGCCCUCAGGGAGCUCACAGCAGAGAGGAGAGGCAGCCCGUGUGUGGGGAGCAGAGCCACGACGCCCCCAGUGAGGUCUCGAGCUGACCCCUGGAACUCAGGAGCAAGCCCCUUGCCUAGCAAGGGAGAAUGGAGGCUGCACCGGUGGGUCUAGCGCACUCCACUGGUAGCAACAAGCAAAAGAGGGAGACAGAAGCGAGUGCCAGGGGUACCACAGGAGAGAGACUCCACCUGUCACUGGCAGCCUGGACACCUCCAGAGCCCUCCCCCCAGAGCCUCCAGACAAGCCUGGCCCUGCCAGC